UUCAUGCUUCGAGAGGGGAAAAAAGACAAAGAAUUGAGGGGUUUUUUUUCUUCAUAGGAUUUUGGGAAGACUGAGGCAAUCGUUGCUGAACAGUCGAAGUGUUGUACUGGUGAAUCGGGAUUAAAAUGAAGUCGGUGUGAUUGCUCUUGAUUGUUAUGUGAAAUCGAACUAUAUCUGUAAAGAAGAAUUAAAAGGGUGUCUAUAGGAUUUAUGCGGAGUGAAUGAAGUUUAUUGGAUUAAUCUAACAAGACAGUCAGUGGAUACAAGAUCGUGAGUAUAA
RNAcentral lists this long non-coding RNA (280 nucleotides) under Physcomitrium patens. RNAcentral's name for it is "long non-coding RNA (PPAT_LNC005587)". The record is from RNAcentral. Lineage: Eukaryota; Viridiplantae; Streptophyta; Bryopsida; Funariales; Funariaceae.